This 1430-nucleotide ribosomal RNA is filed under the name uncultured organism. RNAcentral's name for it is "16S ribosomal RNA". It matches the Rfam family "Bacterial small subunit ribosomal RNA". The record is from RNAcentral.
CAGGCUUAACACAUGCAAGUCGACCUACAGCAUUUUAGUUUGCUUGCAAACUGAAGAUGGCGACCGGCGCACGGGUGAGUAACACGUAUCCAACCUGCCGAUCACUCCGGAAUAGCCUUUCGAAAGAAAGAUUAAUACCGGAUAGUAUACGAAUAUCGCAUGGUAUUUUUAUUAAAGAAUUUCGGUUAUCGAUGGGGAUGCGUUCCAUUAGUUUGUUGGCGGGGUAACGGCCCACCAAGACUACGAUGGAUAGGGGUUCUGAGAGGAAGGUCCCCCACAUUGGAACUGAGACACGGUCCAAACUCCUACGGGAGGCAGCAGUGAGGAAUAUUGGUCAAUGGGCGAGAGCCUGAACCAGCCAAGUAGCGUGAAGGAUGAAGGCUCUAUGGGUCGUAAACUUCUUUUAUAUGGGAAUAAAGUUUUCCACGUGUGGAAUUUUGUAUGUACCAUAUGAAUAAGGAUCGGCUAACUCCGUGCCAGCAGCCGCGGUAAUACGGAGGAUCCGAGCGUUAUCCGGAUUUAUUGGGUUUAAAGGGAGCGUAGGUGGAUUGUUAAGUCAGUUGUGAAAGUUUGCGGCUCAACCGUAAAAUUGCAGUUGAAACUGGCAGUCUUGAGUACAGUAGAGGUGGGCGGAAUUCGUGGUGUAGCGGUGAAAUGCUUAGAUAUCACGAAGAACUCCGAUUGCGAAGGCAGCUCACUAGACUGUCACUGACACUGAUGCUCGAAAGUGUGGGUAUCAAACAGGAUUAGAUACCCUGGUAGUCCACACAGUAAACGAUGAAUACUCGCUGUUUGCGAUAUACAGUAAGCGGCCAAGCGAAAGCAUUAAGUAUUCCACCUGGGGAGUACGCCGGCAACGGUGAAACUCAAAGGAAUUGACGGGGGCCCGCACAAGCGGAGGACCAUGUGGUUUAAUUCGAUGAUACGCGAGGAACCUUACCCGGGCUUAAAUUGCAACAGAAUAUAUUGGAAACAGUAUAGCCGUAAGGCUGUUGUGAAGGUGCUGCAUGGUUGUCGUCAGCUCGUGCCGUGAGGUGUCGGCUUAAGUGCCAUAACGAGCGCAACCCUUAUCUUUAGUUACUAACAGGUGAUGCUGAGGACUCUAGAGAGACUGCCGUCGUAAGAUGUGAGGAAGGUGGGGAUGACGUCAAAUCAGCACGGCCCUUACGUCCGGGGCUACACACGUGUUACAAUGGGGGGUACAGAAGGCGGCUACCUGGUGACAGGAUGCUAAUCCCAAAAACCUCUCUCAGUUCGGAUCGAAGUCUGCAACCCGACUUCGUGAAGCUGGAUUCGCUAGUAAUCGCGCAUCAGCCAUGGCGCGGUGAAUACGUUCCCGGGCCUUGUACACACCGCCCGUCAAGCCAUGAAAGCCGGGGGUACCUGAAGUACGUAACCGCAAGGAGCGUCCUAGGGUAAAACUGAUAAUU